UCGGGUAAGUUCCGACCUGCACGAAUGGCAUAAUGAUGGGGGCGCUGUCUCCAGCAGAGACUCAGUGAAAUCGAAUUCGCCGUGAAGAUGCGGUGUACCCGCGGCUAGACGNNNNNNNNNNNNCAGCUUGACAUUGAACUUUGAUCUUACUUGUGUAGGAUAGGUGGGAGGCUUUGAAACCGAGACGCUAGUUUCGGUGGAGCCAAUCUUGAAAUACCACCCUGGUAAUAUUGAGGUUCUAACUCUGCUCCAUUAUCUGGAGCGAGGACCAUGUCUGGUGGGUAGUUUGACUGGGGCGGUCUCC
This 304-nucleotide unclassified non-coding RNA is filed under the name Hevea brasiliensis (rubber tree). It matches the Rfam family "Bacterial large subunit ribosomal RNA", at positions 1972 to 2287 of the family's 2925-position model. The record is from RNAcentral. Lineage: Eukaryota; Viridiplantae; Streptophyta; Magnoliopsida; Malpighiales; Euphorbiaceae.